CGAGAAAGAAAAAGUUAGUUUUCUUGUGACUUCUUGGAUUAGUUGUGAACAGCAUUAGACAAGCGUCGAGGUGAGCUGCCGAGAAGCUGGACCGAGCUUGUGCUGUCGUGAGUUUUGACGGAGCCUGAUUGGCGAGAAACUGAACUGCGUGUCUGAUAUACCAGGAGGGGCAUUGCUCAUCGUGCUAGCUGAGAAGGUGUGUAGGCACGAGUGUUCGUCUUCUCCGGAAGGGAGCCGAGAUACUGUGAGUUUUUCUUCACUGCUGUUUAACCACAGUUGAUAUUCUGAAGAAUUACACGGACGUUAUUUGUUGUUUUUGAAGCAAAGCAGCUUGGAUUGAGUGAUUUUGCUAC
This is a long non-coding RNA of Sinocyclocheilus grahami, 353 nucleotides long. RefSeq lists it as uncharacterized. NCBI's taxonomy places the organism in Eukaryota, Metazoa, Chordata, Actinopteri, Cypriniformes, Cyprinidae. The record is from RefSeq and is a predicted model, not a curated record. The transcript is spliced from 2 exons.